GUCGUUCGUCCGUCUGUCCCGCUUCAGGUUAAAGUUUUUGGUCAAGGUAGUUUUUGAUGAAGUUGAAGUCCAAUCAACUUGAAACUUAGUACACAUGUUCCUUAUGAUAUGAUCUUUCUAAUUUUAAAACCAAAUUAAACUUUUGACCCCAAUUUCACGGUCCACUGAACAUAGAAAAUGAAAGUGCAUCUUUCAGGUUAAAGUU
RNAcentral lists this long non-coding RNA (205 nucleotides) under Mytilus galloprovincialis (Mediterranean mussel). The record is from RNAcentral. Lineage: Eukaryota; Metazoa; Mollusca; Bivalvia; Mytilida; Mytilidae.